Molecule: unclassified non-coding RNA, 373 nt
Filed under: uncultured Bordetella sp.
Lineage: Bacteria; Pseudomonadati; Pseudomonadota; Betaproteobacteria; Burkholderiales; Alcaligenaceae
Description: partial 16S-23S ribosomal RNA intergenic spacer
Rfam family: Bacterial small subunit ribosomal RNA
Source: RNAcentral
GUUCGAUCCUGGCUCAGAUUGAACACUUUGGCGGAUCGCUACACAUACCGCUAGAAUCGAACUGGCCUUCCGGACUUCGGUCUGGUGGCGAGUGGCGAACGGGUGAAGUAAUGUAUCAGACAGUGCCUAGUAGCGGGGGAUAACUACGCGAAAGCGUAAUGCCGCAUACGCCCUUCAGGGGAAAGCGGGGACCCUUCGGGCCUCCGCACUAUUAAACGGCCGAUAUCAGGUUAGCUAGUUGGUGGGGUAACGGCUCGCAAGGCGACGAUCCGUAGCUGGUUUGGAAGGACGACCAGCCACACUGGACUAGAAUUUGGCCCCCAGACUCCUACGGAGGCAACAGUGGGAAUUUUGGACAAUGGAAACCUGAUCC